UGUGCGUCACAGCCUCUACAACCAUUCUCU
This 30-nucleotide non-coding RNA is filed under the name Rattus norvegicus (Norway rat). The record is from RNAcentral. Lineage: Eukaryota; Metazoa; Chordata; Mammalia; Rodentia; Muridae.